RNAcentral lists this transfer RNA (65 nucleotides) under Parapediasia teterrellus. Its description in RNAcentral is "tRNA-Cys". Lineage: Eukaryota; Metazoa; Arthropoda; Insecta; Lepidoptera; Crambidae. The record is from RNAcentral.
AGUCUUAUAUUCAAAAAAUGAUAUAAAAUUGCAAAUUUUAUGGUAUAAAGUAAUUAUUAAGGCUU